AUAUUGGGCAAUGGGCGCAAGCCUGACCCAGCAACGCCGCGUGAAGGAUGAAGGCCUUCGGGUUGUAAACUUCUUUGAUCAGGGACGAAAAAAAUGACGGUACCUGAAGAACAAGCCACGGCUAACUACGUGCCAGCAGCCGCGGUAAUACGUAGGUGGCAAGCGUUAUCCGGAUUUACUGGGUGUAAAGGGCGUGUAGGCGGGUCUGCAAGUUGGAUGUGAAAUUCCCGGGCUUAACUCGGGCGGGUCAUCCAAAACUGCGGAUCUUGAGUACUGGAGAGGAUAGUGGAAUUCCUAGUGUAGCGGUAAAAUGCGUAGAUAUUAGGAGGAACACCAGUGGCGAAGGCGGCUAUCUGGACAGUAACUGACGCUGAGGCGCGAAAGCGUGGGGAGCAAACAG
Molecule: ribosomal RNA, 400 nt
Filed under: uncultured bacterium
Lineage: Bacteria
Description: bacterial SSU rRNA
Rfam family: Bacterial small subunit ribosomal RNA
Source: RNAcentral